This 494-nucleotide ribosomal RNA is filed under the name uncultured bacterium. Its description in RNAcentral is "partial 16S ribosomal RNA". It matches the Rfam family "Bacterial small subunit ribosomal RNA", at positions 28 to 507 of the family's 1533-position model. The record is from RNAcentral.
GACGAACGCUGGCGGCGUGCUUAACACAUGCAAGUCGAACGGAAAGGCCUGCUUUCCCUUGUGGAUUGCGGGUACUCGAGUGGCGAACGGGUGAGUAACACGUGAGUGAUCUGCCCCCAACUUGGGUAUAAGCCUGGGAAACUGGGUCUAAUUCCCGAUAGGACUGCAGGGUGGUGCCUGUGGUGGAAAACGAUUUUCUAGUGGUUGGGGAUGAGCUCGCGGCCUAUCAGCUUGUUGGUGGGGUAAUGGCCUACCAAGGCGGCGACGGGGAGCCGGCCUGGGAGGGGGGACGGCCACAUUGGGACUGAGAUACGGCCCAGACUCCUACGGGAGGCAGCAGUGGGGAAUAUUGCACAAUGGGCGGAAGCCUGAUGCAGCGACGCCGCGGGGGGGAUGACGGCCUUCGGGUUGUAAACUCCUUUCGACCGCGAGGAAGCCACCUGGUUGGAAGGGUGGUGACGGUAGUGGUAGAAGAAGCACCGGCUAACUACGUG